GACGAACGCUGGCGGCGUGCUUAACACAUGCAAGUCGAACGGAAAGGCCCUGCUUUUGUGGGGUGCUCGAGUGGCGAACGGGUGAGUAACACGUGAGUAACCUGCCCUUGACUUUGGGAUAACUUCAGGAAACUGGGGCUAAUACCGGAUAGGAGCUCCUGCUGCAUGGUGGGGGUUGGAAAGUUUCGGCGGUUGGGGAUGGACUCGCGGCUUAUCAGCUUGUUGGUGGGGUAGUGGCUUACCAAGGCUUUGACGGGUAGCCGGCCUGAGAGGGUGACCGGCCACAUUGGGACUGAGAUACGGCCCAGACUCCUACGGGAGGCAGCAGUGGGGAAUAUUGCACAAUGGGCGGAAGCCUGAUGCAGCAACGCCGCGUGCGGGAUGACGGCCUUCGGGUUGUAAACCGCUUUCGCCUGUGGCGAAAGCGUGAGUGACGGUAAUGGGUAAAGAAGCACCGGCUAACUACGUGCCAGCAGCCGCGGUGAUACGUAGGGUGCGAGCGUUGUCCGGAUUUAUUGGGCGUAAAGGGCUUGGUAGGUGGUUGAUCGCGUCGGAAGUGUAAUCUUGGGGCUUAACCCUGAGCGUGCUUUCGAUACGGGUUGACUUGAGGAAGGUAGGGGAGAAUGGAAUUCCUGGUGGAGCGGUGGAAUGCGCAGAUAUCAGGAGGAACACCAGUGGCGAAGGCGGUUCUCUGGGCCUUUCCUGACGCUGAGGAGCGAAAGCGUGGGGAGCGAACAGGCUUAGAUACCCUGGUAGUCCACGCUGUAAACGGUGGGUACUAGGUGUGGGGUCCAUUCCACGGGUUCCGUGCCGUGGCUAACGCUUUAAGUACCCCGCCUGGGGAGUACGGCCGCAAGGCUAAAACUCAAAGGAAUUGACAGGGCCCCGCACAAGCGGCGGAGCAUGCGGAUUAAUUCGAUGCAACGCGUAGAACCUUACCUGGGUUUGACAUGGAUCGGGAGUGCUCAGAGAUGGGUGUGCCUCUUUUGGGGUCGGUUCACAGGUGGUGCAUGGCUGUCGUCAGCUCGUGUCGUGAGAUGUUGGGUUAAGUCCCGCAACGAGCGCAACCCUUGUUCACUGUUGCCAGCACGUUAUGGUGGGGACUCAGUGGAGACCGCCGGGGUCAACUCGGAGGAAGGUGGGGAUGACGUCAAGUCAUCAUGCCCCUUAUGUCCAGGGCUUCACGCAUGCUACAAUGGCUGGUACAGAGAGUGGCGAGCCUGUGAGGGUGAGCGAAUCUCGGAAAGCCGGUCUCAGUUCGGAUUGGGGUCUGCAACUCGACCUCAUGAAGUCGGAGUCGCUAGUAAUCGCAGAUCAGCAACGCUGCGGUGAAUACGUUCCCGGG
Molecule: ribosomal RNA, 1345 nt
Filed under: uncultured bacterium
Lineage: Bacteria
Description: 16S ribosomal RNA
Rfam family: Bacterial small subunit ribosomal RNA
Source: RNAcentral